ACCACGAGAGGUGGGGACGUCAGGCGGGACCGGCCGGUGACAAACCGGAGGAAGUGGGGACGACGUCAAGUCAUCAUGGCCCUUAUGUCCUGGGCUACACACGUGCUACAAUGGCCGGUACAGAGCGCAGCGAGGCCGCGAGGCGGAGCGAAUCGCUUAAAGCCGGUCCCAGUACGGAUUGGAGUCUGCAACCCGACUCCAUGAAGUUGGAAUCGCUAGUAAUCGCGCAUCAGCCAUGGCGCGGUGAAUACGUUCCCGGGCCUU
RNAcentral lists this ribosomal RNA (264 nucleotides) under uncultured Spirochaeta sp. RNAcentral describes it as "partial 16S ribosomal RNA". It matches the Rfam family "Bacterial small subunit ribosomal RNA", at positions 1120 to 1382 of the family's 1533-position model. The record is from RNAcentral. Lineage: Bacteria; Pseudomonadati; Spirochaetota; Spirochaetia; Spirochaetales; Spirochaetaceae.